UACGUAGGGUGCAAGCGUUGUCCGGAAUUAUUGGGCGUAAAGAGCUCGUAGGCGGUUUGUCGCGUCUGCUGUGAAAACUCGGGGCUUAACUCCGGGCCUGCAGUGGGUACGGGCAGACUAGAGUGCGGUAGGGGAGACUGGAAUUCCUGGUGUAGCGGUGAAAUGCGCAGAUAAUCAGGAGGAACACCGGUGGCGAAGGCGGGUCUCUGGGCCGUAACUGACGCUGAGGAGCGAAAGCGUGGGGAGCGAACAGG
RNAcentral lists this ribosomal RNA (254 nucleotides) under uncultured bacterium. Its description in RNAcentral is "partial 16S ribosomal RNA". It matches the Rfam family "Bacterial small subunit ribosomal RNA", at positions 524 to 776 of the family's 1533-position model. The record is from RNAcentral.